RNAcentral lists this long non-coding RNA (431 nucleotides) under Equus asinus (donkey). Its description in RNAcentral is "lncRNA (ENSEASG00005037664.1)". Lineage: Eukaryota; Metazoa; Chordata; Mammalia; Perissodactyla; Equidae. The record is from RNAcentral.
GCGCAGGCAAAGCAAAUCCUGCAGCUGAGGAUGGUGCUCUGACCAGGAGAUGCAGUACCGGUUGUGGGAAUGAAGGCACACCUGGAGACCAUUUGCGUGAAACUGGAAGAGGAUGGGUAGGGCCAUGGCGGAACACUGAUAUCGAUUGCUGGAGUCAGAAUGUACUCUAAGGUUUGUCUCCACCCUGACAAACAGAAAGCAGACGCCUAGGGAGAUGCAGGAAGACUGCCGAAUGAUUCGUUUCAUCGCUUAAAACCUGAUAACGGUGGGCCACACAAAGUCUUACUGGGUGUCCACGGACGACCCUUCCUCCCGGCCUUAGAGCUAAAGAAACAGCCUGCUUUUCCUGCUGGAAAAUCACUUAGAUUCAUUUGUCUUCUCCGGAUGCUGUUGAAUGGGGACAAGAGCCAAAGUACGGCCAUUUUUUCGUU